Molecule: ribosomal RNA, 403 nt
Filed under: Papilio deiphobus deiphobus
Lineage: Eukaryota; Metazoa; Arthropoda; Insecta; Lepidoptera; Papilionidae
Description: partial 16S ribosomal RNA
Source: RNAcentral
GGGCUGCAGUAUUUUGACUGUACAAAGGUAGCAUAAUCAAUAGUCUCUUAAUUGGUGACUUGUAUGAAAGAUUGGAUGAGAUAUAUACUGUCUCUAAUUAAUUUAUAGAAUUUAAUUUUUUAGUAAAAAAGCUAAAAUAAUUUUAAAAGACGAGAAGACCCUAUAGAGUUUAAUAAUUUAUUUAAUUAUUAUUAAUAUAUAAUUUUUAAAAUUAAAAUUAAAUAGAUUAUUUUAUUGGGGUGAUAGAAAAAUUAAAUUAACUUUUUUUUAUUAUUUACAUUAAUUUAUGAUUAAAUGAUCCAUUUAUAAUGAUUAAAAGAAAAAAUUACCUUAGGGAUAACAGCGUAAUUUUUUUUUUUAGUUCAAAUAGGAAAAAAAGUUUGCGACCUCGAUGUUGGAUUAA